UGAUGGACUGAAAGGGUCUGGAGAGCUUCUUGACCGCUAAUUUUAGGCCGCUCUUCACAUCGUAAGCAGAACUGUCGGAAAACAAACAUUAGCGCACUGCCCUUGGCAAUCAUUUGCAGAAGGCUGGAAAAAAAAAAAUACCCGAGCGAGAUCAACAGGAAACGUCAUGUCACUGUCUCCACACUAAAAACGUCACUGCUGCCGCGAGCUAACCGACCAGAUUGUGGAAACCACAUUGCACAUUAUUAUCGAAGUCCGAGAUUAAUAAAUGCAAUCGUAAUAAUGAGGCAAGAAAUUACAUUUCCUUUGAUUGAGGAGAAAAUGAUCAAUUCAUUGUUUUGGUUUUGAAAGUGUCACAGUGGAAUAGCAACAUCUUGGUCACAGUCAAGCUCAAGUGCAGAGUUUGCAUCUCCUUCCCAUGCUUAAGUGCGUUUCUCCCACCGCCAAAGGAAGGGUCAACUAGUUAUUACAAUGUUUACAAGGUGAGUUCAAUAAAAAUACAUGCGAACAUGUAACUGUUUAUGUGGUAUUAGUUCAAGCAACCCGUGUUUAUCGAAUGCUGUGACUUGGAGGAAGAUCAGAACACUUUUUAUGACCAAUUAAUGCAGAAAACCAGGUCAUUCCAAAGGGUUCACAUACUUUUU
Hippocampus zosterae (dwarf seahorse) is the source of this 644-nucleotide long non-coding RNA. RefSeq lists it as uncharacterized. The record is from RefSeq and is a predicted model, not a curated record. Lineage: Eukaryota; Metazoa; Chordata; Actinopteri; Syngnathiformes; Syngnathidae. The transcript is spliced from 2 exons.